Molecule: antisense RNA, 195 nt
Filed under: bacteria symbiont BFo2 of Frankliniella occidentalis
Lineage: Bacteria; Pseudomonadati; Pseudomonadota; Gammaproteobacteria; Enterobacterales
Description: Yersinia sRNA 276
Rfam family: Yersinia sRNA 276
Source: Rfam by way of RNAcentral
GACAGACAUUAAGGAUUCAAAAUGCGACCCCGCACCCACAGCUAAGUAGGCAUUCAUGCCUAGCUCUUUCAUCUGCUGUUCGCCAAUCACCCGGGUAGUAAUGUGGGUGCUAUUUGCGUCCGCCAAUUGACGGGCUUGCGAAGCAAGAUAGGCCGGGUUACAGAUAUUGGGUGGCAUAUUGCCGAGAUCUUUCGC